RNAcentral lists this ribosomal RNA (305 nucleotides) under uncultured bacterium. RNAcentral describes it as "bacterial SSU rRNA". It matches the Rfam family "Bacterial small subunit ribosomal RNA", at positions 333 to 635 of the family's 1533-position model. The record is from RNAcentral.
UUACCCCUACGGGAGGCAGCAGUGAGGAAUAUUGGUCAAUGGGCGGAAGCCUGAACCAGCCAAGUCGCGUGAGGGAUUAAGGCCCUGCGGGUCGUAAACCUCUUUUGCCGGGGAGCAGAGGUCCGGACGUGUCCGGGCCGGGAGAGUACCCGGAGAAAAAGCAUCGGCUAACUCCGUGCCAGCAGCCGCGGUAAUACGGAGGAUGCGAGCGUUAUCCGGAUUUAUUGGGUUUAAAGGGUGCGUAGGCGGGCAUUUAAGCCGGAGGUGAAAUGGUGGGGCUCAACCCCGGCCUGCCGUCGGAACUG